This 465-nucleotide ribosomal RNA is filed under the name Vreelandella stevensii. Its description in RNAcentral is "partial 16S ribosomal RNA". It matches the Rfam family "Bacterial small subunit ribosomal RNA", at positions 338 to 795 of the family's 1533-position model. Lineage: Bacteria; Pseudomonadati; Pseudomonadota; Gammaproteobacteria; Oceanospirillales; Halomonadaceae. The record is from RNAcentral.
CCUACGGGUGGCAGCAGUGGGGAAUAUUGGACAAUGGGCGAAAGCCUGAUCCAGCCAUGCCGCGUGUGUGAAGAAGGCCUUCGGGUUGUAAAGCACUUUCAGUGGGGAAGAAAGCCUUGGGGCUAAUACCCUCGAGGAAGGACAUCACCCACAGAAGAAGCACCGGCUAACUCCGUGCCAGCAGCCGCGGUAAUACGGAGGGUGCGAGCGUUAAUCGGAAUUACUGGGCGUAAAGCGCGCGUAGGCGGUCUGAUAAGCCGGUUGUGAAAGCCCCGGGCUCAACCUGGGAACGGCAUCCGGAACUGUCAGGCUAGAGUGCAGGAGAGGAAGGUAGAAUUCCCGGUGUAGCGGUGAAAUGCGUAGAGAUCGGGAGGAAUACCAGGGGCGAAGGCGGCCUUCUGGACUGACACUGACGCUGAGGUGCGAAAGCGUGGGUAGCAAACAGGAUUAGAUACCCCAGUAGUC